Non-coding RNA from Danio rerio (zebrafish), 845 nucleotides. The record is from RefSeq and is a predicted model, not a curated record. Lineage: Eukaryota; Metazoa; Chordata; Actinopteri; Cypriniformes; Danionidae.
UAAUUAAAUCCAACGUGGUUUUAUCAGAAGAAUUUAGCUAUUAUUUUUGAAUAAUUUCAGAAAGAGAAAAUAAUAAUUAAAUCUAACGUGAUUAAAAUGAGCAUUUUCAGAUUAGCCAGGGGCACACAAGUCGCCGAGGACCAGCUGCGCUUGCCGGUUACACGAGUGAUGAGCGCCCGUCAUGACCUGGAGGUGGACAUGUCAGCAAUUUUCAAAGGACAUUUAAAAAUACGCACAUCUUUAGUCUUUAGAGAUUAACAGCGGAUUUGAGUUUUAAACAACUACAUUCUCGCAUGAACAACCGCUAAAACUUAUGGUACAUUGGUUAUGGUAUAUUUCAUGGUACAUUUAGAGCAGUAUUUGAUUAUUGUAUUGGUUCUGUUCAGUGUGAGAUUAAAUCGGAUUGAACCGUCUUUGGAUUGAACUGUUUGCUGGGAGAUGGGGAAACGGGAAUCUUUUUAUUACACGUGUUCAAAAGCUUAUAGUCAUCAACAUGUAAUUAGUGUAUAGUGUAAAUGCGUGUGACUGAGUUAUAGCGAAAUGCUAAUCAAUCGUGUUGGUAAUUACACAAAAAUGCAAUCGGUUUCGGGUGGGAUCCGACUCUUACAAAUCACUUAAGUGAGCUGAUUCCUAGAAACGAACCGAGUCACUCGACUUAAACAACGCCGACUCGCUUCACCAGACAACGCGGAGAUGUCGUUGUCUCAUCCAAACGGAUUUAUCGCACAGCAUUGAGUUAAAGUGACCACAGAAUAAAGUAAGCAAGUGUCAGAGGCAGAGGAGACACAUCAACCAGCAAGUGUGUAACUUAUCAGGAAAACGACUGACUGAAUGGAUGACAGUCU